GAGUUUGAUCUUGGCUCAGAACGAACGCUGGCGGCAUGCCUAACACAUGCAAGUCGAGCGAUCUUCUUCGGAAGAGAGCGGCGGACGGGUGAGUAACGCGUGGGUAACCUGCCCUGUACACACGGAUAACAUACCGAAAGGUAUGCUAAUACGGGAUAACAUAAGAAAUUCGCAUGUUUUUCUUAUCAAAGCUCCGGCGGUACAGGAUGGACCCGCGUCUGAUUAGCUAGUUGGUGAGGUAACGGCUCACCAAGGCGACGAUCAGUAGCCGACCUGAGAGGGUGAUCGGCCACAUUGGAACUGAGACACGGUCCAAACUCCUACGGGAGGCAGCAGUGGGGAAUAUUGCACAAUGGGCGAAAGCCUGAUGCAGCAACGCCGCGUGAGCGAUGAAGGCCUUC
This 401-nucleotide ribosomal RNA is filed under the name uncultured Clostridia bacterium. RNAcentral's name for it is "bacterial SSU rRNA". It matches the Rfam family "Bacterial small subunit ribosomal RNA", at positions 9 to 419 of the family's 1533-position model. Lineage: Bacteria; Bacillati; Bacillota; Clostridia. The record is from RNAcentral.